GGAGAGGUGUCCGAGCGGUUGAAGGAGCUAGUCUCGAAAACUAGUAGUGGGUUUAUCCUACUCGCGAGUUCGAAUCUCGCCCUCUCCG
Molecule: transfer RNA, 88 nt
Filed under: Planctomycetota bacterium
Lineage: Bacteria; Pseudomonadati; Planctomycetota
Description: Planctomycetes bacterium tRNA-Ser
Rfam family: tRNA
About the family: Transfer RNA (tRNA) molecules are approximately 80 nucleotides in length. Their secondary structure includes four short double-helical elements and three loops (D, anti-codon, and T loops).
Source: RNAcentral